This 377-nucleotide ribosomal RNA is filed under the name uncultured eukaryote. RNAcentral's name for it is "partial 18S ribosomal RNA". It matches the Rfam family "Eukaryotic small subunit ribosomal RNA", at positions 592 to 976 of the family's 1831-position model. The record is from RNAcentral.
CAAUAGCGUAUAUUUAAGUUGCUGCAGUUAAAAAGCUCGUAGUUGGAUUUCGGGUGGGAAUGGCCGGUCCGCCGUUUCGGUGUGCACUUGCUACGCCCACCUUGCUGCCGGGGACGUGCUCUUGAGUUCACGCUCGGGACACGGAGUCGGCGAGGUUACUUUGAGUAAAUUAGAGUGUUCAAAGCAGGCCUUUGCUGUGAAUACAUUAGCAUGGAAUAAUAAGAUAGGACUGUAGUGCUAUUUUGUUGGUUUGCGUACUAUGGUAAUGAUUAAUAGGGAUAGUUGGGGGUAUUCAUAUUCAAUUGUCAGAGGUGAAAUUCUUGGAUUUAUGGAAGAUGAACUACUGCGAAAGCAUUUACCAAGGAUGUUUUCAUUAA